Molecule: ribosomal RNA, 410 nt
Filed under: uncultured Helicobacter sp.
Lineage: Bacteria; Pseudomonadati; Campylobacterota; Epsilonproteobacteria; Campylobacterales; Helicobacteraceae
Description: bacterial SSU rRNA
Rfam family: Bacterial small subunit ribosomal RNA
Source: RNAcentral
ACCAAACCAUCGUAGGUAAUAUACUUACCAGAACUAUCACGGGUAUCCGGCCUGAGAGGGUGAACGGACACACUGGAACUGAGACACGGUCCAGACUCCUACGGGAGGCAGCAGUAGGGAAUAUUGCUCAAUGGGGGAAACCCUGAAGCAGCAACGCCGCGUGGAGGAUGAAGGUUUUAGGAUUGUAAACUCCUUUUGUUAGAGAAGAUAAUGACGGUAUCUAACGAAUAAGCACCGGCUAACUCCGUGCCAGCAGCCGCGGUAAUACGGAGGGUGCAAGCGUUACUCGGAAUCACUGGGCGUAAAGAGCGCGUAGGCGGGAUAGUCAGUCAGGUGUGAAAUCCUAUGGCUUAACCAUAGAACUGCAUUUGAAACUGCUAUUCUAGAGUGUGGGAGAGGUAGGUGGAAUA